This 73-nucleotide transfer RNA is filed under the name Fistulina hepatica ATCC 64428. Its description in RNAcentral is "tRNA-Arg (CCG) (tRNA-Arg-CCG-1-1)". It matches the Rfam family "tRNA". Rfam says of the family: Transfer RNA (tRNA) molecules are approximately 80 nucleotides in length. Their secondary structure includes four short double-helical elements and three loops (D, anti-codon, and T loops). Further hydrogen bonds mediate the characteristic L-shaped molecular structure. tRNAs have two regions of fundamental functional importance: the anti-codon, which is responsible for specific mRNA codon recognition, and the 3' end, to which the tRNAs corresponding amino acid is attached (by aminoacyl-tRNA synthetases). tRNAs cope with the degeneracy of the genetic code in two manners: having more than one tRNA (with a specific anti-codon) for a particular amino acid; and 'wobble' base-pairing, i.e. permitting non-standard base-pairing at the 3rd anti-codon position. The record is from RNAcentral. Lineage: Eukaryota; Fungi; Basidiomycota; Agaricomycetes; Agaricales; Fistulinaceae.
GCCCGUGUAGUCUAAUGGUUAUGACGUCACUUUCCGGAGGUGGAAGUUGGGGGUUCGAGUCCCUCCUCGGGUU